AAAGAUGAGAUGAGAGAGGAAGAUGGUGAUGAAAAGCACAGAAGUUCUUUUUUCUUUCCCUCCGGAACCCUCUAGAGCCUAGUAAAAACACAAACUAGAACAGCACCGAGGGAUAGAAGAAAGGAAGACGGGAGAGAGGAAAGGGAUGAAGACGGGGUGGGGUGUGGGAGUGGCGUGGGGCGGGCGAGGGUCGUCGUCGUCGGUUAGUGGGGC
Non-coding RNA from Caenorhabditis elegans, 213 nucleotides. Lineage: Eukaryota; Metazoa; Nematoda; Chromadorea; Rhabditida; Rhabditidae. The record is from Ensembl.